UAGAUAUCCGGAGGAACACCAGUGGCGAAGGCGGUACGCUGGGCCUGGUCUGACGCUAAGACGCGAAAGCAUGGGGAGCGAACGGGAUUAGAACCCCCGGUAGUCCAUGCCGUAAACGAUGCUAACUAGGUGUUUGCGGGUAAAAGACCGGCAGUGCCGGAGUUAACGCGAUAAGUUAGCCACCUGGGGACUACGGUCGCAAGGCUUAAACUCAAAGGAAUUGACGGGGGCCCGCACAAGCAGCGGAGCGUGUGGUUUAAUUCGAGGCUACACGAAGAACCUUACCUGGGCUUGACGUGACGGUGGUAGGGAACCGAAAGGGGACCGACCUUCGGGAGCCGUCACAGGUGCUGCAUGGCUGUCGUCAGCUCGUGUCGUGAGAUGUUCGGUUAAGUCCGGUAACGAGCGCAACCCUCAUCGCUAGUUACAAGUGUCCUAGCAAGCCUGCCCGUUCAACGCGGGAGGAAGGCGGGGAUGACGUCAAGUCAGCAUGGCCUUUAUGUCCAGGGCUACACACACGCUACAAUGGCGGGUACAAUGGGUCGCCAACCCGCGAGGGGGAGCCAAUCCACCAAAGCCGGUCACAGUUCGAAUUGCAGGCUGCAACCCGCCUGCAUGAAGUCGGAGUUGCUAGUAACCGCAGGUCAGCUAUCCUGCGGUGAUACGUUCCCGGGCCUUGUACACACCGCCCGUCACGUCAUGGGAGCUGGUC
This 712-nucleotide ribosomal RNA is filed under the name uncultured organism. RNAcentral describes it as "bacterial SSU rRNA". It matches the Rfam family "Bacterial small subunit ribosomal RNA", at positions 691 to 1416 of the family's 1533-position model. The record is from RNAcentral.